RNAcentral lists this transfer RNA (85 nucleotides) under Candidatus Uzinura diaspidicola str. ASNER. RNAcentral describes it as "tRNA-Ser (GCT) (tRNA-Ser-GCT-1-1)". It matches the Rfam family "tRNA". Rfam says of the family: Transfer RNA (tRNA) molecules are approximately 80 nucleotides in length. Lineage: Bacteria; Pseudomonadati; Bacteroidota; Flavobacteriia; Flavobacteriales. The record is from Rfam by way of RNAcentral.
GGAGAGUUGCCGGAGUGGUUAACGGGAUAGUUUGCUAAACUAUUUACGGGUAGCCGUAACGUGGGUUCGGUUCCCACACUCUCCG